RNAcentral lists this ribosomal RNA (518 nucleotides) under uncultured Glomeromycotina. Its description in RNAcentral is "SSU rRNA". It matches the Rfam family "Eukaryotic small subunit ribosomal RNA", at positions 569 to 1092 of the family's 1831-position model. Lineage: Eukaryota; Fungi; Glomeromycota. The record is from RNAcentral.
AGCAGCCGCGGUAAUUCCAGCUCCAAUAGCGUAUAUUAAAGUUGUUGCAGUUAAAAAGCUCGUAGUUGAAUUUCGGGAUUAGUACGCUGGUCAUGCCUUUGGUAUGUACUGGUGUUACUGAUUUCUACCUUCUGAAGAACCGUUAUGUCAUUCAUUUGGUGUGGCGGGGAAUCAGGACUGUUACUUUGAAAAAUUAGAGUGUUUAAAGCAGGCUCGCGCUUGAAUACAUUAGCAUGGAAUAAUGAAAUAGGACGUUGAUCCUAUUUUGUUGGUUUCUAGGAUUGACGUAAUGAUUAAUAGGGAUAGUUGGGGGCAUUAGUAUUCAAUUGUCAGAGGUGAAAUUCUUGGAUUUAUUGAAGACUAACUACUGCGAAAGCAUUUGCCAAGGAUGUUUUCAUUAAUCAAGAACGAAAGUUAGGGGAUCGAAGACGAUCAGAUACCGUCGUAGUCUUAACCAUAAACUAUGCCGACUAGGGAUCGGAUGAUGUUAAUUUUAAUGACUCAUUCGGCGCCUUAAC